Molecule: long non-coding RNA, 293 nt
Organism: Drosophila takahashii
Lineage: Eukaryota; Metazoa; Arthropoda; Insecta; Diptera; Drosophilidae
Source: RefSeq, a predicted model, not a curated record
GAGGUCUGGGUCAAAACAGCUCUCGAGCGGUAAUGCCAUUGCAUUUAGUUACAAAACGUUAAGCACACCGGACCGAAUAUGUUUUGGGAUCUGAUUGGUGGAAUUUUCGAGUUCAUUUUCGGACUCUUGUUUCCCAGUUCCGGCAGUGGAGACGAACCAGAUUCUGAGGAGGUGGAAACCACCUGAAAAUAUUAUUAUUUUUUACUCUUUUUCAAUUGCAAAAGUUUCAUGUUUUCGCUUUAUUAUAUCUACGUAAAAAGUGUAUAUUUAACAUAAAUUGCUUCAACAGCUAC